RNAcentral lists this long non-coding RNA (5082 nucleotides) under Lotus japonicus. Its description in RNAcentral is "long non-coding RNA (LJAP_LNC001802)". Lineage: Eukaryota; Viridiplantae; Streptophyta; Magnoliopsida; Fabales; Fabaceae. The record is from RNAcentral.
UUCAACAGGCUCAGAGGUCCCAUUUAUGAUAAAUUGGUCAAGGAAUUCUGGAAACACGCUGAGUGUGAUGAUACUCAGGUGGUUUCGUACAUAGCUGGAAGAAGGAUAAUCAUCACGGAGAAAUCUAUUGUGAAUCUGCUGGGUGCACAUACUGGAACUGGGUAUAGAUUUCAACUGACUGAAUCCAAGUUGAAACCCAAAACAAAGGAAGAGACCAACAAGGCCCUUUACACCAAUUACAAACCGGGCAAGACCGAUUACAAGGUGAUGGAUCUUCAUCCUAAGCUCAGAAUCUGGCACAAGAUUCUGCUCAACUGUAUCAACCAGAGGCCAAAGGGCAGUUCUCCUGACUACAUCAACUUCUGCCAGAAGGCGAUGCUAUUCUUUAUUCAGGAUAAGAAGAAGAUCUGUCUUCCUUUGUUCUUGUUCUCUUACCUGAAAGAAUGCAUUAGGAAGUCCAGAACCACUGCAUCCAUCAAGUCUGCUAUCAAGUACAUUCCUUUUGGAAGACUUCUCUCAGAUCUUUUCAUUGAAAGUAAGCUUGUGGAAGAUCUGACCAAGGCUGGCUGCAUAGAGGAUCUGACCAUGAUUGUGAGUGAUGUUUCCACAUCCACAUCUUUGAAGAAGAUGGGAUUGGUCAAGAAGAGGAUAGACCCUGCUCAUGAAGAUACUUCAGAUGAAGUCAGAAGAAGAAGAAUCCCUCUGAAUGACUAUCCUUUGUGGACUCAGGCAGACAACCCAGAAGCUAUCAGGUGUUACGUUGAAGAUCUAAGAGCACAAGGCUUUGAAAUUGAUGUAGAUGAGUUCUUCAGAAGAUUGCCACCAGCAAUAGAGUUUGACUCUCCUCCAAAGAAGAAAGUUCAGAGGAAGAUGGUCUUGGAAGAAUCCUCUGAGGAAUCUGAUGUCCCUCUGAAGAAGAAGAAGAAGGCUGACCAGCCUAAGAGGAAACAUGCUGAAACCACCAAGCCAGAUGAUGGUGAUGAUGGUAAUAAUGAAGAUGGUCCUUCUCCUCCAAAGAAGAAGAAGAAACAAGUUAGAAUUGUGGUGAAGCCUACCAGGGUGGAACCUGCUGCUGUAGUUAUCAGAAGAGAGUCUUCUGCCAGAGUGACUCGAUCUGCUGUGCGUUCAUCAAGUAAGUCAGUUGUCAUUGAAUCUGAUGAUGAUUUAAAUUCCAUUGAUGCACUCCCCAUCUCUACACUUCUUAACCGCACCGCCACCCAACUCACUCCUAUCCCGGAGUCCCAACCAGCCACUCAAACCACCUCUCCACCCAAUUCCCCAAGGUCUUCAUUUUUCCAACCUUCUCCAAACAAAGCACCUCUUUGGAACAUGCUUCAGAACCAACCUACCGGAACCUCUGAUCCAACCUCACCCAUUACCAUUCAAUACAAUCCAUUAACCUCUGAACCCAUUAUUCUUGAACCCUCUGAACCUGAACUCACAAUUCCUGUCCAACCAGAACCUGAAUUCAUAACGUCUGAUCACUCUGUCCCCAGAGCAUCAGAACGUCCGGUUGCCAGAACCACUGAUACAGAUUCUUCCAGUGCCUAUACUCCUGUAUCAUUCCCAAUCAACGUUGCUGACUCCUCACCUUCAAACAACUCUGAGUCACAUCAUAAAUUCAUGGAGGUCAGAAAAGAAAAAGUGUCUGCCAUCCCAGAAUAUUACCUCACGGUCCCAAGCCCUAGGAGAUACCCUGGACCUAGACCUGAACGUCUAGUUGACCCAGAUGAACCUAUCCUGGCUGACCCUUUACAUGAGGCAGACCCUUUAGCUCAACAAGCUCAAUCUGACCCUGUCCAUCAAGAGCCAAUUCAACCAGAACGAGAACACUCUGUGUCUAACCACUCUUCGGUUAGAUCACCACAUCCUCUGGUUGAAACUUCUGACCCAAACCUUGGAGCCUCUGAACCAAAUGCUCAAACCUUUAACAUUGGUUCUCCUCAAGGUGUUUCUGAGGCAAACAGUAGCAAUCACCCAACCUCUCCUGAAACCAACCUCUCCAUAGUUCCCUACACUCACCUCAGACCAACCUCUCUCUCUGAGUGCAUUAAUGUUUUUAAUCAUGAAGCUUCAUUGAUGCUCCGCAAUGUGCAAGGUCACACUGACCUAAGUGAGAAUACUGAAUCUGUUGCUGAGGAUUGGAAUAAUCUGAGUACUUGGUUAGUAGCUCAGGUUCCUAUUAUGAUGAGGCAUCUGAUUGAAGAAAGGGAUCAAAGGAUAGUAGCUGCUAAGCAGAGGUUUGCAAGAAUAGUGGCUCUGCAUGAACAACAUCAAAGAACUAAGUUACUUGAAGCUGUUGAAGAGGCCAGAAGAAAGAAAGAGCAAGCAGAAGAAGCCGCACGUCAAGCAGCCAUACAAGCUGAAAAUGCAAGACUAGAAGCUGAGAGACUUGAAGCUGAAGCUGAAGCUCUUAGAUGUCAGGCUCUUGCACUAGUGGUGUUCACUCCUGCUGCUUCUGAUUCCAUUCCAGAUCAUCAAUCUGCUCAGAAUGUUCCUUCAAGCUCUACACAGCCAAGUUCUUCCAGACUUGACAUCUUGGAACAACGUCUCAACACUCAUGAGACUCUGCUGACAGACAUGAAGCAAAUUCUUCAGGAACUCCUGCGUCGCUCUGACAAGCCUUAGUUUUAGGAUUUCUUUCGUUUUUCUAAACUUUAUCUUUAUUUUUAUUUCAUUUGCAUUACUUACUCUGGUUUAUCAUUACAUAUAUAUAUAUAAAUGACAUUGUGCUUGCAAAUGUUUUUCUUUAUUCAUAUAAUUUAUGUUAUUACAUCAUACAUUUGUCCCUAAAUCUAGAAUGGAGGAUCCUUCCUCAUUCUUCUGCACUCUUGGCGCUGCUCUACCCUCUCCUUCUCCAGACGAUCCAAUGAAUACUGGAUGUUGUUGAGUCUGAUGUUAAGCUCCUCCCUCUCCAGACUAUCUUCUGUCGUCUUCACUAUCUUUUCCAUAGCUUCCUUCUCUUCCAGCAAAUUCAGCUCUAGCUGGCUGAGCUCCUGGAUUUCCUCCACGAAGGAAAGGAAUUCCUUCAGUUCCUUUUCCAGCUCUGGACAAAGGUCCUCUUCAAGCAGUGUCGUUGUCAGCUCGUGUAUUGUUCGUGUACCAUCCGGGUGUCGAAUGUUCAGGAACAAGUCUUCCUCGAAGGCCUUCCUUCUGAGCUCUUCUAGUGCAACCAUGUAUGAAGCCAUGUCUGAUUAUGGUAUUGAUCAAGUUGUGAAGCUUACCCUUUUCUUCAUCGCUUUAUAUAGGCUUCACUUUCUCUCUGACAGUUAAUGCUCCUACAGUUUCUCGAGGUUCAGUUCUUGGUAACUGAAGCUUCUCUUUACUCCCUUGGCCGGUGGUAAACGUUCUUCUUUUGCAUUAACUCUUCUCUUUAAUUCGCCUAACUCUGAUUCAUGCAUUGUUUUGUUUAUUUUAAACUUAGACCUUCUCUAAGGGGGAGUACCUUGUACUUCAAACUAAGUUUUUCACACCCCAAGCUUUUUGCUUAUGACAAAAAGGGGGAGUACAACCAGUUUUUGAUGUGUAAGUUGUGUUAGUGUGAUUUAUUUUUAUUUUGGAGAAUUUAAGAGUUCCACCUUUAUGACCAUAGAUGUGUCACUGGGCAAAUACAAGAAAUACAUUUCCCUUCUUCUGAAGUGAUUUUAGUUUGACUCUGAUACCCAAGACUCUGAUACCUUGUCCGUUGACUCUGAAUACUUAUGCGCUCUGAUUAUUCCAAUUCAUCUAUGUCAUAAGUUUUUCACUCUGAACUCUUAUAUUAUUUAGCUCAGAAUCUAGACUUUUCUAACGAUUUCAUCAAGUAUUAGAUUCAGGGGGAGCUAAGCUCAGAAUCAAGCAGUGACUUGAAUUUAGAAUGAGCAAGAUAAACUAUUCACAUCAGGAUAAGUCUUAUUCUAUAUCCCUAAACUCUGAGUGAAUCCAGUUUAUUGUUUAAGAAUUGUUCAUCAAAAAUCUUAGUUUUGUCAUCAUCAAAAAGGGGGAGAUUGUAAGAUCAAGUUUUGAUCUAGUAGUACAACUCUAUGUUUUGAGGAUUACAAGUUAACCUUUUGAUAUGAACAAUUGUGGUACUCUAACGUGUUUUUCUGAGUGUGUUAUUUACAGGCUCUGACCUCUAUUCCAUCUCACACAAAUCAGAAGCACUGUGCUUAAAGAGUGACCCAAGCAACGCUUUCGCAAUCUCCAUGUUCAGUCUGAACAGUGGAAAAGCUUCAGAAGAUCUGAAGUAAAUCUAGCUCUGAUAAGGACUCAGCUCACUUGAAGCUCUGAUGAUCCAGAAGAUCUGACAACCAAGAGACUCUAAAGGCUCAGAGGCUCUGAAGGUGUAGAAGACUCUGACGAUCCAGACUCUGAAGAGUGAAGACUCCGAAGUCCAGAAGCAACUGGCUCUGAAGACCAUGUACUGAUCCUCUGAAGUGAAGAUCAGAAGGUACAACGGUCAGAGGAUCCAAGCUUCCCUCUGACUUUGAUCAAUCAGCUUCACAAGUUCCAACACGAAGCGCUCCUCUGAUCAGAAGUCUACGAGGUUAAGGUCAAGUCACUAUCCAAAGUACAAAAGCAAAGUGUACUAUCCUGACGACCUACCUAACAUCCUCAGCCACAGCAGAAGCUGGAAUUUCCAGAACUGUCCUCCAACGGUAGCAUUUCCAUGCAACGUUCAACCCUAAUCCUUGGAGUAUAAAUAGAGGUUGAAGAUUGAAAGAAGAGGCUAGAAGCAUUCACACACGCGCAAGAAAUAUUCAAAUCCUUCUAAGCUUUCUUUCAUCUUGAAUUUCAUUGUGUUUACUAUAAGCUUUUUAGAAGCACUUUCUUUGUAAACAAGAACUUCAUAUACAGUUGUAUAGUUUGCCUUUAGGAGAUCAAGGUUGAUCGGAUCCUAGAGAAGACUAAGAGAGUGAAUCUUAGUGUGAGCUAAGUCAGUGUAUUGUUAGUCACUUGUAGGUUUCAAGUGCAGUUGUAACACAUACCUGAUUAGUGGAUUGCCUUCAUUCUAAGAAGGAAGAAAUCACCUUAACGGGUGGACUGGAUUAGCUUGAGUGAUUUAUCAAGUGAACCAGGAUAAAAUCCUUGUGUGCUUUUCUA